UCGUAGUCGGAUUUCAGUAGGCUCAGUUUAGUCUUCAUUGUAAGAUCUAUAUGGGCCUGCUUCUUUGACAGAAACUUCUAUGUUAUUCAUUUAGCGUGGGCAGCGACUGUCUCUUUUACUUUGAGAAAAUUAGAGUGUUCAAAGCAGGUAGAUGCCUGAAUAUUACUCUUGGAAUAAUGCUAUAAGACUUUGGUUCUAAUGUAUUGGUGAUUGGGACCAGAGUAAUGAUUGAUAGGGACGGUUGGGGUCUUACGUACUGCAAAGCGAGAGGUGAAAUUCUUGGACCUUUGUAUGACGAACAACUGCGAAAGCAUUGGACUAGGACGUUCCCGUUGAUCAAGAACGAAAGUUGGGGGAUCGAAGACGAUCAGAUACCGUCGUAGUCUCAACCAUAAACUAUGCCAGCUAGGGAUCGGAGGAAGUUAUUGUUUCGACUCCUUCGGCACCUUAUGAGAAAUCAAAGCAUUUGGGUUCCGGGGGGAGUAUGGUCGCAAGGCUGAAACUUAAAGGAAUUGACGGGAGGGCACCACCAGGAGUGGAGCCUGUGGCUUAAUUUGACUCAACACGGGAAAACUUACCAGGUCCGGACAUAGUAAGGAUUGACAGAUUGAAAGCUCUUUCUUGAUUCUAUGGGUGGUGGUGCAUGGCCGUUCUUAGUUGGUGGAGUGAUUUGUCUGGUUAAUUCCGUUAACGAACGAGACCUCAGCCUGCUAAAUAGUGUCAUUUUCUUCUGAAGAUGUGCACUUCUUAGAGGGACUACUUGUGAAACAACCAAGCGGAAGCUUGAGGCAAUAACAGGUCUGUGAUGCCCUUAGAUGUUCUGGGCCGCACAUGGGCUACACUGGUGCAUUCAACAAGCAUUAUAACCUUAGCCGAAGGGUUUGGGUAAUCUUUGAAAUUGCACCGUGCUUGGGAUAGACUAUUGCAAUUUUUAGUCUUCAACGAGGAAUUCCUAGUAAACGCAAGUCAUCAGCUUGCAUUGAUUACGUCCCUGCCCUUUGUACACACGCCCGUCGCUCUACGAUUGGAUGAUUCGGUAAGCUUUUGGGAUUGAUUAUGUAUCUGUCAUGACGGUACAUUUUAACAACUUAUCAAACUAAUCAUCAA
Molecule: ribosomal RNA, 1107 nt
Filed under: uncultured eukaryote
Lineage: Eukaryota
Description: SSU rRNA
Rfam family: Eukaryotic small subunit ribosomal RNA
Source: RNAcentral